RNAcentral lists this ribosomal RNA (51 nucleotides) under Corynandra viscosa (Asian spiderflower). RNAcentral's name for it is "partial 26S ribosomal RNA". The record is from RNAcentral. Lineage: Eukaryota; Viridiplantae; Streptophyta; Magnoliopsida; Brassicales; Cleomaceae.
CGCGACCCCAGGUCAGGCGGGACCACCCGCUGAGUUUAAGCAUAUCAAUAA